RNAcentral lists this ribosomal RNA (526 nucleotides) under uncultured bacterium. RNAcentral describes it as "bacterial SSU rRNA". It matches the Rfam family "Bacterial small subunit ribosomal RNA", at positions 8 to 521 of the family's 1533-position model. The record is from RNAcentral.
AGAGUUUGAUCCUGGCUCAGGAUGAACGCUAGCGACAGGCUUAACACAUGCAAGUCGAGGGGCAGCGGGGGAGUAGCAAUACUCCCGCCGGCGACCGGCGCACGGGUGAGUAACACGUAUGAAACCUGCCCGUAGCGGGGGGAUAAGCGGAAGAAAUUCCGUCUAAUACCGCGUAACAACCCAUGGAGGCAUCUCCGUGGGUUUAAAGGAAGCGAUUCCGGCUACGGAUGGUCAUGCGUCGCAUUAGCUUGUUGGCGGGGUAACGGCCCACCAAGGCGACGAUGCGUAGGGGUUCUGAGAGGAAGGUCCCCCACACUGGUACUGAGACACGGACCAGACUCCUACGGGAGGCAGCAGUGAGGAAUAUUGGUCAAUGGCCGCAGGGCUGAACCAGCCAAGUCGCGUGAGGGAUGACGGUCCUAUGGAUUGUAAACCUCUUUUGUCAGGGAGCAAAGGGCGCCACGUGUGGCGUUUUGCGAGUACCUGAAGAAAAAGCAUCGGCUAACUCCGUGCCAGCAGCCGCGGU